GCCCCCGUAGCUCAGGGGAUAGAGCACUCGCCUCCUAAGCGAGGGGUCGUGCGUUCGAAUCGCGCCGGGGGCA
This 73-nucleotide transfer RNA is filed under the name Deltaproteobacteria bacterium. RNAcentral's name for it is "tRNA-Arg". It matches the Rfam family "tRNA". From Rfam's summary of the family: Transfer RNA (tRNA) molecules are approximately 80 nucleotides in length. Their secondary structure includes four short double-helical elements and three loops (D, anti-codon, and T loops). Further hydrogen bonds mediate the characteristic L-shaped molecular structure. tRNAs have two regions of fundamental functional importance: the anti-codon, which is responsible for specific mRNA codon recognition, and the 3' end, to which the tRNAs corresponding amino acid is attached (by aminoacyl-tRNA synthetases). tRNAs cope with the degeneracy of the genetic code in two manners: having more than one tRNA (with a specific anti-codon) for a particular amino acid; and 'wobble' base-pairing, i.e. permitting non-standard base-pairing at the 3rd anti-codon position. The record is from RNAcentral. Lineage: Bacteria; Pseudomonadati; Myxococcota; Myxococcia.